AUUGAACGCUGGCGGCAGGCCUAACACAUGCAAGUCGAACGAGUGGCGGACGGGUGAGUAAUGUCUGGGAAACUGCCUGAUGGAGGGGGAUAACUACUGGAAACGGUAGCUAAUACCGCAUACCAUCGGAUGUGCCCAGAUGGGAUUAGCUAGUAGGUGGGGUAAAGGCUCACCUAGGCGACGAUCCCUAGCUGGUGUGAGAGGAUGACAAGCCACUCUGGAACUGAGACACGGUCCAGACUCAUACGGGAGGCAGAAGUGGGGAAUAUUGCAAAAUGGGCGCAAGCCUGAUGCAGCAAUGCCGCGUGUAUGAAGAAGGCCUUCGUGUUGUAAAGUACUUUCAGCGGGGAGGCGGUACCCGCAGAAGAAGCACCGGCUAACUCCGUGCCAGCAGCCGCGGUAAUAC
This 406-nucleotide ribosomal RNA is filed under the name uncultured bacterium. RNAcentral's name for it is "partial 16S ribosomal RNA". It matches the Rfam family "Bacterial small subunit ribosomal RNA", at positions 30 to 526 of the family's 1533-position model. The record is from RNAcentral.